CCUGGCGGCCUUAGCGCGGUGGUCCCACCUGACCCCAUGCCAAACUCAGAAGUGAAACGCCGUAGCGCCGAUGGUAGUGUGGGGUCUCCCCAUGCGAGAGUAGGGAACUGCCAGGC
RNAcentral lists this ribosomal RNA (116 nucleotides) under Escherichia coli. The record is from RNAcentral. Lineage: Bacteria; Pseudomonadati; Pseudomonadota; Gammaproteobacteria; Enterobacterales; Enterobacteriaceae.